RNAcentral lists this ribosomal RNA (480 nucleotides) under Triticum aestivum (bread wheat). RNAcentral describes it as "partial small subunit ribosomal RNA". The record is from RNAcentral. Lineage: Eukaryota; Viridiplantae; Streptophyta; Magnoliopsida; Poales; Poaceae.
AUGCUGCAGCACCUAGAUCUCCAAGAUGACGAGCUUGAUGAUGUGGUCAUAGGGGAGGAAGAGGUAAAGAAGUAUGAAGCGGAUGCUAGGUGGCUGGCGAUCGCAAAGGUGAACACGACCCGCACUUUCAGUCCGUCGUUGAUGUUUGAGUGCAUGAAAUCAAUCUGGUCGCUAGCACAUGUCCCCGAGUACAGGGAGGCGGGCGAAAACCUGUUUAUCUUCCAGAUGUUCUGCCUGGGUGAUUGGAAGAAGGUGGUGCACGGAGGUCCAUGGCUCUUCAGGGGGAUGGGGAUGUUGAUUGAGGACUAUGAUGGCAAGAAGGAACCUACAUCUGUUGAUUUUGAUGGACUAUACGUGUGGGCUCAGAUUCACAAUAUACCUGAGUUGUACCGCAAGGCAGAGGUAGUUGACCAACUAGCCCGUCGCAUCGGGCGGGUGAAAGAAAUCCAGCUAGCUCCUAGGCUGUUCUAUGAGGGCGAC